GUGUAAUUGGGCAGCAACACAGCUAAUAAACCAAAGGAUAGAAAAGUCAUUUCAGCCUGCCAGUUAAACACGGUACGGCACUGACUUUGUAUACCUAGGGUGCUAAUGUGAUCCUAAGGAAUCAGAAAAGUGGGACCCCUCUGUUUUGUAUAGGUUCCAAGAGAAAGACAAGUUAUUUAAGAAUACUGUCAAACCUUCCAUGAAAAUACACCCUUAAGAAGAUUGAAGAAGAGGCCCUGCGGCCAGAAGGGGCAAAUCAACAAGAGUGGAGUUAGAGAAAGAUGCUGGAAGGCAAGAGUCAGAUGACAGGACUGAGCAGCACAGGGGAAAGUCCUGCUAAGUUUUAGACAACAAUCUUGGUCAAGUUACAUUUGAAUUGCUGAUGAGCUGCCACAUAGAAGAUGCCGCAGAGAUAACCGACAGUUAAGAUUCCACAGGAUGAAGAGAUCUGGGGUGGACAGUCGGAUGGGGGACCUACAAACAGAGGGCAGAUGAUAGAAUUUGAGUACAGGUGAUCAAUAAAAAAAGUGGGUAGUAGACCACAGUAGAAUCUGUUUUUUAAAAAAAUUAACACGAGCAAGAAAGCAAAGGCUUCAAGGCUAUGUCUACACUAAACUCACAAGUGACGUUGAACAGCCCAGAACAUCUUUUAGUGUUCACCGCCAUCCUGAAACCUGGAGCUCCCCAAGAAGUUUUUGAAACGGAUGCGCCAUCUGCAUUCCAGACCUGUGUAGUGCCCUGUCCCUCGAAACAACUUACGAGUGAGGUUAAGAUGAUGAAAUAAGGGCUUCCCUGGUGGCGCUGUGGUUAAGAAUCUGCCUGCCAAUGCAGGGGACACGGGUUCGAGCCCUGGUCCAGGAAGAUCCCACGUGCCAUGGAGCAACUAAGCCCGUGUGCCACAACUACUGAGCCUGUGCUCUAGAGCCUGUGAACCACAACUACUGAGCCCACGUGCCAUGACUGCUGAAGCCCGUGCCUAGGGCCCGUGCUCCGCAACAUGAGAAGCCACCGCAAUGAGAAGCCCGCACACCGCAAUGAAGAGUAGCCCCCGCUCGCUGCAACUAGAGAAAGCCCGCAGGCAGCAACUAAGACCCAACGCAGACAAAAAUUUAAAAAAUAAAUAAAAUAAAAAUAAAUUUAAAAAAAUGAUGAUGAAAUAAAAUAUGUAUGAGAGAAGUAUAUAUGCUGGAUUAAUCUGGGCUGAAUUCAUUAUACUCUAGGGAAUUAAUGUAUUAUUGAGAUGGAAACUUCCUGGUCUCCUUGUUGAACUGAUGCCCCACAUUGACUCAGUUAAAUGGUCGACUGAAUGUAAACGUUUGCCUGUCUUUAUGAUGAUGAUGAUUUUAUUUCAAAGCAGUCUUCCGUGUGUGCUGAAAUGCCCUUGGAAUCAGAUUCGUCUUCUCUUGCUCUCAGAGUAAAGUGAGGUGGGAGGAGAAUCUGAUACCACAAGAGGGUAUCUAGUCUCAAGAUGCAGCGCCCCACGCUGAGGUGCAGCAUCUCCAGGCGACUGUGACCGGCUCGGGAACUGUGUGAAUGUCUGUUGUUCAAAGCAACCAGAUUUCAGUGAUUAGAAGGGAAAGCAUGAGCAUUUUAAUAUUUCCAUUCUCUAGAGAUUUGCUUUAUUAGGAAAGCAAGCUCUCCCCUUUCUGUAACAUGCUGUAUCCAGUCUUAUUGUUGAAGAGGACUUUAUCUUGAAGGCGAGAAAGUAAACAAGAUUCU
Molecule: long non-coding RNA, 1719 nt
Filed under: Monodon monoceros (narwhal)
Lineage: Eukaryota; Metazoa; Chordata; Mammalia; Artiodactyla; Monodontidae
Description: lncRNA (ENSMMNG00015019634.1)
Source: RNAcentral